RNAcentral lists this ribosomal RNA (253 nucleotides) under uncultured bacterium. Its description in RNAcentral is "partial 16S ribosomal RNA". It matches the Rfam family "Bacterial small subunit ribosomal RNA", at positions 524 to 776 of the family's 1533-position model. The record is from RNAcentral.
UACGAAGGGUGCAAGCGUUAUUCGGAAUCAUUGGGCGUAAAGCGCGUGUAGGCGGCUUGUUAAGUCGGUUGUGAAAACCCAUGGCUCAACCAUGGAAGGGCGUCCGAAACUGGCAAGCUAGAGUCCCGACGAGGAUGGCGGAAUUCCCAGUGUAGAGGUGAAAUUCGUAGAUAUUGGGAGGAACACCGGUGGCGAAGGCGGCCAUCUGGGAGGGCACUGACGCUGAGACGCGAAAGCGUGGGGAGCAAACAGG